RNAcentral lists this ribosomal RNA (545 nucleotides) under Pagurus minutus. RNAcentral describes it as "partial small subunit ribosomal RNA". It matches the Rfam family "Bacterial large subunit ribosomal RNA", at positions 1831 to 2625 of the family's 2925-position model. The record is from RNAcentral. Lineage: Eukaryota; Metazoa; Arthropoda; Malacostraca; Decapoda; Paguridae.
GUCUAUAUGAAGGUGUAUAUAGUUUGGCCUGCUCACUGAUUAUAUUAAAGAGCCGCAGUAUUUUGACUGUGCGAAGGUAGCAUAAUAAAUUGUCUUUUAAAUGGAGGCUUGAAUGAAAGGUUGGACAAAGUAUCAUCUGUUUCUUAAAUAUUUAUUGAAUUUGACUUUCAAGUGAAAAGGCUUGAAUAAAUUAAAAAGACGAUAAGACCCUAUAAAUCUUUACAAUAAACAUAUUUUAUAUUUUUAUUUAUUAAGUGAAUGAGAUAUUAAAUUUGUAGUUGUUCCGCUGGGGCGGCGUAGAUAUAUAAAUGAACUGUCUAUAAUUUUAAAUACAAUAAUUAUUGAUUAAUGAAAUUGAUCCUUAAAUAGAUUAAAAGAUUAAGAUACUUUAGGGAUAACAGCGUUAUUUUUUCUGAGAGUUCUUAUCGAAGAAAAAGUUUGCGACCUCGAUGUUGAAUUAAAGUAUCUUUAUGGUGCAGUCGCUAUAAGAGAGAGUCUGUUCGACUUUUAAUACUUUACAUGAUUUGAGUUCAGACCGGCGUGAG